GACGAACGCUGGCGGCGUGCUUAACACAUGCAAGUCGAACGGAAAGGCCCUGCUUUUGUGGGGUGCUCGAGUGGCGAACGGGUGAGUAACACGUGAGUAACCUGCCCUUGACUUUGGGAUAACUUCAGGAAACUGGGGCUAAUACCGGAUAGGAGCUCCUGCUGCAUGGUGGGGGUUGGAAAGUUUCGGCGGUUGGGGAUGGACUCGCGGCUUAUCAGCUUGUUGGUGGGGUAGUGGCUUACCAAGGCUUUGACGGGUAGCCGGCCUGAGAGGGUGACCGGCCACAUUGGGACUGAGAUACGGCCCAGACUCCUACGGGAGGCAGCAGUGGGGAAUAUUGCACAAUGGGCGGAAGCCUGAUGCAGCAACGCCGCGUGCGGGAUGACGGCCUUCGGGUUGUAAACCGCUUUCGCCUGUGACGAAGCGUGAGUGACGGUAAUGGGUAAAGAAGUACCUGCUAACUACGUG
RNAcentral lists this ribosomal RNA (468 nucleotides) under uncultured bacterium. RNAcentral's name for it is "partial 16S ribosomal RNA". It matches the Rfam family "Bacterial small subunit ribosomal RNA", at positions 28 to 507 of the family's 1533-position model. The record is from RNAcentral.